AACUGAUAACUACAAAGUUAACUGCUAACUGGUUUAUGUUUUGAGUUUCCUUUAAAUUGAUUUCUGAUAGCAGUCAGUAGCUACAGAAUUGACUGUUUGUUUUUUUCAUUUUUCAUCCUGAUUCCCUUAUUGAUUUGUUCUCAGUUGUCAUCCAUUGAAAACCUAUAGAGGUACCUGCUAACUGGAUUUGUAUUUUGAAUUCCUUGUAAGUGUUUUGGGAUCAGCUGACAGCUAUAGCAUCAACUGGUAUCUGUCUUGUGUUUAUUUUGCAUUUUUGACCCCUCUAUUGGUUUGUUAUCAGUUCUUAUCAGUUAAAACUUAUAAAAUCAAUUGUUUGUCUUCCUUUCUGCAUUUGGAUUAUUGUAAUUGAUUUUGUUAUCAGUGGCAUCAGUUAAUACCUAUAAUACCUCCUAACUGGCCUUGUAUUCUGAAUUUUCAGGUCUAACUGGUAUUUGUUUUAUGUUCAUUUUUGCAUUCAGAUUCUUUUAUUGGUUUUGUUAUCAGGUGUGAUCAGUUAACAGCCAUAGUGUUUACUGCCAGUUACUUUUCUUUUUAAGUUUGAGCUGAUUUCUGAUAUUGGUAAACAGCUAUAGAAUUAGUGGGUAUUUUUAUACAUUUGUCUCUGGACGUUGAUCAUUAUAAAUCAAUCUUGCCAUCAGUUGUAAUCAAUUGAAAGCUAUAGAGUUAACUGCUAAUUGGUUCUGUGUUCUAACCCCCCUAAAUUGAUCUCUGAUAUUAGGAAACAGCUACAACCGGUUUGUUUUUGUGUCUGUGUAAAGGACAUCGAUCGAUUUAAUUAAUUUUGUCAUCAGUCAGUAAUCAACUGACCGCUAUAGAAUUAACUGUAUUUGUUUCUGAUCUUUCCAUUUGAUCUUAAGGCUGGUUUCUCUUAUCAGUUGAUGAUGGUUGAAAUGCUCUUAGGGUCAACUGCUAUUUGUUCAUGUAUGUGAUCAUGCAUUUUGAUUUUGAAUUAAGUUAGUAGUUUACACUCUUAGGGUUAGCUGCUAGCUGUUUCUGAUUUCUGCAUUUUAUUUUGAGACUGAAUUCUCUUAUUGGUUGGUGGGAGCUGACACUCUUAGGACUAUUCUGUUAUUGGUUGAUGAUGGUUAAACACUCUUAGGCUUCACUGCCAUUUACUCUACAUCUGCUCUUGUAUCUUGAUGUUUUAGGAUACAAGAGCAGAUGUAGAUCUUGAGGUUAAUUUCUGUCAUCAGUUGAUGAGCUAUUAAUGAUCUUGGGGUUAGUUGUUUUGCUUUGCAUUAGACUGUAGGUGUGGGUUGUUGUUGUUGUGUUUUUUAAUCAUUUACCAGCAGGAUUGAACAGCUAUGAUUUUGCUUGCUUUAAAUUAGAAUCAUUGAGUUUGCAGUUUUAUUUCAGAAUUAUUCCUUGUUAAAAUUGAAAUCUGCGGUUUCAGAAAAAGAAAAAGCAUUGUGUAACCCAUGGUUAUUUUAUUGACAAUUGUAUUGUAUUUUUAUUCUAAUUUUAAGUGUUACUGUUUUGUUAAGUGCUGAGUUUUCCCAUGUACCGUGAAUGCACCAUAGCGCUGUGCGUGGUGACUUUCUUUCACUGCAUCCUCCUGCACGGACCUAGAUGCGCAAAGCUGUGUGGAGAUUCAGUCCUAUAACGUGUUGCGGUACGGAAUUAAUGUUUUCUUUGAAGAAUAUCCUGGCUGUUUUUUUUGUGGUAGAAAUCUGCUACAAGGACCGAGCGGUGCCAUCUAAGGACUGGAUGCCACUGGAGGUGCCUAGGAAGGACAUUCUCAAUCUGAAGGCCACCUGUUUCCUUGGAGGGUGGUAGGAUACAACGAUUUGCAAUUUCUUUUUAAGGAUUAACGUUUUUUUUACUGAGAUCUCAGGACGCUUUAAGUUGUUACUUUUUCUUUUUGGGUCAGAUCUGAUUCCACUUAGCACAAAAAACUGAUGCAUCUAAAAGCAAAACUGUGACUAAAGACAAUUAACACUUACUAAGAACACCGAAUACAAAGUGCACUGAACUGAAAUGGACAGCCUACCUAAUACAUUUAUGAACACUUUAAGUGAUAUAUUGUACAUUGUUGAGAUUUACAUGUUUGAAAUGAUUUAAAUGUUUUGUUCAUGUCUAUGUUUGGACCAUUUAAAUGUUGAAUACACUCAAAUCACUUUUUUCCUUUAA
Long non-coding RNA from Oreochromis niloticus (Nile tilapia), 2151 nucleotides. RefSeq lists it as uncharacterized. The transcript has 2 exons. NCBI's taxonomy places the organism in Eukaryota, Metazoa, Chordata, Actinopteri, Cichliformes, Cichlidae. The record is from RefSeq and is a predicted model, not a curated record.